Molecule: ribosomal RNA, 430 nt
Filed under: uncultured bacterium
Lineage: Bacteria
Description: bacterial SSU rRNA
Rfam family: Bacterial small subunit ribosomal RNA
Source: RNAcentral
AACAGGUCUUUGAACUAGUGGCGAACGGGUGAGUAUCACGUGAGCAACCUGUCCCGGAGACUGGGAUAACAGUGGGAAACCGCUGCUAAUACCGGAUGUACCUACCCGGCUGCAUGGCUGGGUUGGGAAAUGCUUUUGCGCUUCGGGAGGGGCUCGCGGCCUAUCAGCUAGUUGGUGGGGUAAUGGCCUACCAAGGCGUCGACGGGUGGCUGGUCUGAGAGGACGAUCAGCCACACUGGGACUGAGACACGGCCCAGACUCCUACGGGAGGCAGCAGUGGGGAAUCUUGCGCAAUGGGCGAAAGCCUGACGCAGCAACGCCGCGUGAGGGAUGAAGGCCUUCGGGUUGUAAACCUCUUUCGUACAGGGACGAUUGUGACGGUACCUGUAGAAGAAGCUCCGGCCAACUACGUGCCAGCAGCCGCGGUAAU